GCAAUGCAACAGAAAUGAGCCACAGGCGUGUUUGGUGCCAGUUGGGCCCCCCACGGAAAUUUCAGGUUGUAAUUUGCGGGCAGCUCACCAACAGACUAACAAAAAACUGGCAGUUGUUAGUUAAAAGAAAAGCCGACUUGCUGGAGUUUGACUUUUUUGUGUGUUACAGAGGGACAGCUCACUUUAUGAGUGCACAAGUCAAAAGAGCUGCAGAUAAAUCUCCACCCAUCACUCGUCUUGUUCAUGUUGUCUUUUUUAGAACAAUACAAUUUCUUUUCUUGGAUCACUAGAAAACACAAGAUCAAGUAUGAAUCACCAAUCAACCUAUCUGCAUAUCUGGAAUAUGUGAGAAAACCAGAUCACACAGAGCACACCGGGUUGAAGACACCGAUACAUGCAAACUCCACACAGACAGUCUCUGGCGCUGUAAGGAGGCAUUGCUAACCUCUAUGCCGGUAUAAUGCCCCUGUCAGCAUCCAACAAUAGCCGGCCAGCACCUAUGGAUUCCACUUGCCCUAAUACCACUUGCCAAUCAUAUAAUUUCGUCACUGAUCAUCACUGAUGCACCAAAGUUAGUAGAUAAGAAGACCAAAUAUGAAAAAAUGAAUCUUUAGUAACAUUUUACACUGUAUGGUUGUUGUAUGCUUGAAGAAUGUUGUCAUCCAACCAGACAUAGUUUGGUGCUCUGUAGUUGGCAAGAAAACUCUUAAUAUCAUUCUUGAAUGCCUUCCAUGGGAUUUUCUCUCACCCCAAUAGCAGAAUAUUGAACAGCUUGUCAUUGAGGACAUGUCUGGUUUGUGGACCAACAAAAACAUCCUUCCUUAAUCUUAUCAUCAGUUAUUCAUUGAAAUAUCUGUCUAAAAAUACCAACAUUCUUCAACUUCUUUUACUUUCUUGUUCAUUACUUUCAUGAAAGUUUUUAUCAGCCCAAGUUUUAAUGAAGAGGAGACAAAAGUAUCUUUGUUGGGUCAACAAGAGGUUAAUGUAAGGACAAACUUCAGCACGGCUGCCCCUUUCGCAAAUGAAACAACAGUACUUGGUAUACCCAAGCAGCAGUCUUAGUAGCAGUGCCACUACUUAUACAACACAACAGAUGUUCCAGUUGUAGUUGUUAUACUGUGUAUGUAUACUUAUAAUAGUAGAAGAAAUCACUAAAAUAGGUAAUUACGUGAUAGGUUACACUCCAAAAGUGUUCAGAAAGCAAAAUUCUUGUGGCCAAGUGAAUAGAUGGUAUGAUUAUUUGGUGAAUUAAAACACAUCAGGUUCUGCAAAGGGUGUUAAACAGAGAUGUCUCAUUGUCAUGAAUCUACUGCCAAUUGUCGGACCUUUAAGCUGGUGAUCACAACAUAAACAGGGCGAUCAUUCAUUUAAAUGAUAAAUAGGAAUGAAAUGACAAUAAACAAGAAUAACUGUAUAUUUUAGUAGGUACUGUAGGUUUCAUGCCUGUUUUCCUGGUCCUUUUUUCAGAGGAGAUGCUUAAAAUGAAAAAACAUGAAUUUGAGUUUACUAUGAAAAUGUUUUCACUCUGUGGCCCAUAAAACUGUAAUUGCUGUGUCCUAACAGAUCCAGAUUGCUAGUUCCAAAUUACUUGGUCAACGUCUGUUUGGAGAUUAUAUAUUUUUGCCAUGUCUUCACUGUAUUUUUGCUAGUGUGUUCAACACUCUUAUGUGCAUAACUUUGAGAAUGUGAAAAGUAAACCCAAACUCCUGGUGAAAGACCACACAGACAUGGAGGAGAACAAUGAAUGGGUGUUGGAUUUAAAUCCAAGAAGAUAGAUCUGUGAGGCAGCCUAAUUAACCAGUGUAGGACAUGACUGCAUAUUACACGGGGAAAAACAUGAAUGAAAAACGUGAACUGCUUAUAUCU
Long non-coding RNA from Polypterus senegalus (gray bichir), 1866 nucleotides. RefSeq lists it as uncharacterized. The transcript is spliced from 3 exons. NCBI's taxonomy places the organism in Eukaryota, Metazoa, Chordata, Cladistia, Polypteriformes, Polypteridae. The record is from RefSeq and is a predicted model, not a curated record.